CCUACGGGAGGCAGCAGUGAGGAAUAUUGGUCAAUGGGCGAGCGCCUGAACCAGCCAAGUCGCGUGAAGGAAGACGGCCCUAUGGGUUGUAAACUUCUUUUGUCAGGGAGCAAUUGAGUCUACGUGUAGGCUGAGCGAGAGUACCUGAAGAAAAAGCAUCGGCUAACUCCGUGCCAGCAGCCGCGGUAAUACGGAGGAUGCGAGCGUUACCCGGAUUUAUUGGGUUUAAAGGGUGCGUAGGCGGAAUACAAAGUCAGCGGUAAAAAUUCGGGGCUCAACCUCGAUGUGCCGUUGAAACUGGGGUUCUUGAGUGGGCGAGAGGUAUGCGGAAUGCGUGGUGUAGCGGUGAAAUGCAUAGAUAUCACGCAGAACUCCGAUUGCGAAGGCAGCAUACCGGCGCCCAACUGACGCUGAAGCACGAAAGCGUGGGUAUCGAACAGGAUUAGAUACCCGAGUAGUC
RNAcentral lists this ribosomal RNA (460 nucleotides) under uncultured bacterium. RNAcentral's name for it is "partial 16S ribosomal RNA". It matches the Rfam family "Bacterial small subunit ribosomal RNA", at positions 338 to 795 of the family's 1533-position model. The record is from RNAcentral.